Molecule: long non-coding RNA, 715 nt
Organism: Anas platyrhynchos (mallard)
Lineage: Eukaryota; Metazoa; Chordata; Aves; Anseriformes; Anatidae
Source: RefSeq, a predicted model, not a curated record
GCACAAUUUCUUUCAUCCUGACAUCUUGUAGCAAGGAGACAUCCUGGACUGGUGCAUGCUUCCAAUACUACCUCUGAGGGGAGCCAUUUUCCAACAGUUGUGAUUAGUGUCAUGGAAACCAUAUAUCUUUUUAAUCCUUGCAUCAUUACAUGGGCCUGAUUCUAUUCAUGCUUAAUUGACAUGAAUCAGAAAUAGGUCAGCAGAAGACCACAGCCCAUUUCAACUGAACACACAUCAAAUAAGAUGAAAACCCUUGAGGUACUUCUGUUGUUUUCAGUAUGGCACACAGAAGAGAAAGAGUAAAAUGAAACCGUACAGAAGAAAUAGCAUUAACUGAAAUCCUGAAUGGCAAGAAUCAUUUUCAAGACCACAACUUCACUUGGAGGUACAGGAGGAGGUGGAGGAAGAGAGAUGAAACAACUCAGCAAACAAACGGAAAUUGAAUAUAAUCAUUAUCGAUGAACAAAACUUCUUGGGAUGUCUUUCAACCUCCUUCCACUGAAUCACUCCAAAGUAAUAGUAGAUGAUUUAGACAAAUGAUCUGAGUUACUGAUUUCAUGGAUGGAGAGAAUGAGUAAGAAGCAUACUCUGUCCCUUGGCUGUCAUUCACUGCUUUACCAUAUCUGCACUCACAUCCCAGUGAAUGCGUUGAUUACUGUUCUGGAUUCUCCAUUUAAUAAACUGCAUUAAACUCUCCCUGGAAAAAAAAAGCAAA